GAUUGUAGUCAUAUGCUUGUCUCAAAGAUUAAGCCAUGCAUGUCUAAGUACUUGCCGAAAUAAGGUGAAACCGCGAAUGGCUCAUUAAAUCAGUUACGGUUCUAUAGAUAUUGACUAUCUACAUGGAUAACUGUGGUAAUUCUAGAGCUAAUACAUGCACAAAAGCCCUAACCUUGCGGGGGGGGCGCAUUUAUUAGAACAAGACCAAUGGGGCUCCUUGUGGGUCCUUACGUUGGUGACUCUGGAUAACUUCAGCUGAUCGCACGGCCUCCGAGCCGGCGACGAAUCUUUCAAGUGUCUGCCUUAUCAACUGUCGAUGGUAGGUUAUGCGCCUACCAUGGUUGCAACGGGUAACGGGGAAUCAGGGUUCGAUUCCGGAGAGGGAGCCUGAGAAACGGCUACCACAUCCAAGGAAGGCAGCAGGCACGCAAAUUACCCACUCCCAGAACGGGGAGGUAGUGACGAAAAAUAACAAUACGGGACUCUAAUGAGGCUCCGUAAUUGGAAUGAGAACAAUCUAAAUCCUUUAACGAGGAUCUAUUGGAGGGCAAGUCUGGUGCCAGCAGCCAAU
Molecule: ribosomal RNA, 571 nt
Filed under: uncultured fungus
Lineage: Eukaryota; Fungi
Description: SSU rRNA
Rfam family: Eukaryotic small subunit ribosomal RNA
Source: RNAcentral